CCCGCAGGUCCCUUGGCCUCCAGCUGCUGUGCGUGGGGGCUCUGGAGUCCUCUUUUCUCUAAGGAGCUUUGCAUCCCAAGCCAGCAAGCUAUGCAAUGUUUCCUGGGGUUGUAACCAGAGUCUGAGUGGAAGCGUUCUCCUGGCAGUUACAGCCCAGAGAAGGUAUGCUGAGUCCUGCUCGUGGUUGUGCCACAACUCCUGUCCUCCUGGGGCUGGCCACUGUGCCAGAGCUCAUGAAUAUUGCUGAAUGGUAAAUCAGUUGAGUCCUGUGAAUCCUUCAUCUCCCAGCCAAGAUUUCUGCCACUCAUAUUUAGCCAAAGACUCCAGACAAUGGAACCAGAGACUGUCCCGAAACGCAGGCCUCCUCCCGCGCACGCAUGUCAAAGUUAGGGCUUCGGCCUCUGCCCUGCCUGCUCUUCGCCACCCGCCGGGCCUCAGCCCUGCUGCAGUCAAAACGGAAGACUUCUCCUCUCAAGAAUGGUGGCCGCUCAAGCAAUGGGGACUUUAAAGCUGCCAUGUACAAAGAAAGUGACCAACCAGACCCUUCAAAACAGAAGCCUUGGAGUAGAGUGAAGGGGUACUUACCCAGAUCACCCAGAGAUGCUUCUGAGAAGUGGUCCUGACCCCCUGGUAUUGCCUACAAGGCCCUUCAUGACCUGGUCCCUGCCUGUCCCUCACCCCAUCCUGCCAUCUCCUCUAUGCUCCAGCCACACCAAACAUCCACAAGGUCCCCAAACAAUCAGUCCCCCUUUCCUGCUUCAUUCCCUCAAUAUAAAGUAUUCUUC
Molecule: long non-coding RNA, 785 nt
Filed under: Equus caballus (horse)
Lineage: Eukaryota; Metazoa; Chordata; Mammalia; Perissodactyla; Equidae
Description: lncRNA (ENSECAG00000059111.1)
Source: RNAcentral